GAAUGCUGACAUAAGUAACGAUAAAGCGGGUGAAAAGCCCGCUCGCCGGAAGACCAAGGGUUCCUGUCCAACGUUAAUCGGGGCAGGGUGAGUCGACCCCUAAGGCGAGGCCGAAAGGCGUAGUCGAUGGGAAACAGGUUAAUAUUCCUGUACUUGGUGUUACUGCGAAGGGGGGACGGAGAAGGCUAUGUUGGCCGGGCGACGGUUGUCCCGGUUUAAGCGUGUAGGCUGGUUUUCCAGGCAAAUCCGGAAAAUCAAGGCUGAGGCGUGAUGACGAGGCACUACGGUGCUGAAGCAACAAAUGCCCUGCUUCCAGGAAAAGCCUCUAAGCAUCAGGUAACAUCAAAUCGUACCCCAAACCGACACAGGUGGUCAGGUAGAGAAUACCAAGGCGCUUGAGAGAACUCGGGUGAAGGAACUAGGCAAAAUGGUGCCGUAACUUCGGGAGAAGGCACGCUGAUAUGUAGGUGAAGCGACUUGCUCGUGGAGCUGAAAUCAGUCGAAGAUACCAGCUGGCUGCAACUGUUUAUUAAAAACACAGCACUGUGCAAACACGAAAGUGGACGUAUACGGUGUGACGCCUGCCCGGUGCCGGAAGGUUAAUUGAUGGGGUUAGCGCAAGCGAAGCUCUUGAUCGAAGCCCCGGUAAACGGCGGCCGUAACUAUAACGGUCCUAAGGUAGCGAAAUUCCUUGUCGGGUAAGUUCCGACCUGCACGAAUGGCGUAAUGAUGGCCAGGCUGUCUCCACCCGAGACUCAGUGAAAUUGAACUCGCUGUGAAGAUGCAGUGUACCCGCGGCAAGACGGAAAGACCCCGUGAACCUUUACUAUAGCUUGACACUGAACAUUGAGCCUUGAUGUGUAGGAUAGGUGGGAGGCUUUGAAGUGUGGACGCCAGUCUGCAUGGAGCCGACCUUGAAAUACCACCCUUUAAUGUUUGAUGUUCUAACGUUGGCCCCUGAUCGGGGUUGCGGACAGUGUCUGGUGGGUAGUUUGACUGGGGCGGUCUCCUCCUAAAGAGUAACGGAGGAGCACGAAGGUUGGCUAAUCCUGGUCGGACAUCAGGAGGUUAGUGCAAUGGCAUAAGCCAGCUUGACUGCGAGCGUGACGGCGCGAGCAGGUGCGAAAGCAGGUCAUAGUGAUCCGGUGGUUCUGAAUGGAAGGGCCAUCGCUCAACGGAUAAAAGGUACUCCGGGGAUAACAGGCUGAUACCGCCCAAGAGUUCAUAUCGACGGCGGUGUUUGGCACCUCGAUGUCGGCUCAUCACAUCCUGGGGCUGAAGUAGGUCCCAAGGGUAUGGCUGUUCGCCAUUUAAAGUGGUACGCGAGCUGGGUUUAGAACGUCGUGAGACAGUUCGGUCCCUAUCUGCCGUGGGCGCUGGAGAACUGAGGGGGGCUGCUCCUAGUACGAGAGGACCGGAGUGGACGCAUCACUGGUGUUCGGGUUGUCAUGCCAAUGGCACUGCCCGGUAGCUAAAUGCGGAAGAGAUAAGUGCUGAAAGCAUCUAAGCACGAAACUUGCCCCGAGAUGAGUUCUCCCUGAGACUUUAAGUCUCCUGAAGGAACGUUGAAGACGACGACGUUGAUAGGCCGGGUGUGUAAGCGCAGCGAUGCGUUGAGCUAACCGGUACUAAUGAACCGUGAGG
Molecule: ribosomal RNA, 1644 nt
Filed under: Escherichia coli
Lineage: Bacteria; Pseudomonadati; Pseudomonadota; Gammaproteobacteria; Enterobacterales; Enterobacteriaceae
Description: partial 23S ribosomal RNA
Rfam family: Bacterial large subunit ribosomal RNA
Source: RNAcentral